UACGGAGGAUGCGAGCGUUAUCCGGAUUUAUUGGGUUUAAAGGGUGCGUAGGCGGACGCUUAAGUCAGCGGUAAAAUUGCGGGGCUCAACCUCGUCGAGCCAUUGAAACUGGGUGCCUUGAGUGGGCGAGAAGUACGCGGAAUGCGUGGUGUAGCGGUGAAAUGCAUAGAUAUCACGCAGAACUCCGAUUGCGAAGGCAGCGUACCGGCGCCCAACUGACGCUGAAGCACGAAGGCGUGGGUAUCGAACAGG
Molecule: ribosomal RNA, 252 nt
Filed under: uncultured bacterium
Lineage: Bacteria
Description: partial 16S ribosomal RNA
Rfam family: Bacterial small subunit ribosomal RNA
Source: RNAcentral